GAAGAAGGAAGGAAACGACGACCUGUUUGUAAUAGAUUUUAAGCUACGAGGGCGUUUUUGCAAAAUUCACAGUACACUAAGCUGUGGACAACUUUUUCCGGACGGAGGGAGUAGGAGCAACAUUAACACACUUCACAAGAACUAGAUAGACAGUGUACUUGUAGUACCAUAUGCUGCGAUAACGAAUACUGCCAGAUAUUCAGUCUGUUUACACAUUAACAUGACACCUUGUGUUCAGUGGCGUCACUCUUUAUCACAGGAAACUGCAAUGCAUGGUUUUUGUAUUAAAAAUUUGAAUGUCGUAUAAUUCAAAUGCAGAAAUUUACUCAAGGUAUAAAUUCAAGUCAUGUUACAUCAUCAGUCUGUUAAACAUAACUUACAGAAUGGUACUCUUUUCGUAUCAUGAUGCUCAGGUUCCGUCCACUUGGUGACUUGCUUAGCUUGCCGCGGAACUGUAGUGUAUCUACUUUAUGCUUCUGAUCCAUCAUAAGUUAUUAGCGCAUUCAUGUUACGACACUAACUUGUCAACACCAAGGUGGUAAUCUUGCUUCAGAUCUUGGAUGAGUUACUGGGGCUGUUCAGGCCAUGACUCCAAAUUGUAAUUGCUAUCUUGAGGACGGGCAAUCUUGUGUAACUGAAAGUGAUAAUUCUUCAAAAACUCGGCUCUUGCUAUUCUCCAUGUAGUUUAUUUCAUUCUGCGACAUACUCCCUCCGUUCCUAAAUAUAAGUCUUUUGAGAGAUUCCAAUAAGAGAUAUAUGUUACUUAUGCACAUGUGUCUUGUCUGUUUAAGGUGACCUAGAGCUUCCGCAGUCAACAAUGCUGGCGGUCAGCGUUGCUCCUUACCAGGUGAUGAAUGUGAGGUAUGUAACAUGCUCGCCAUUCCGGAAGACAUUAGCUAUACUGCUGCAUAUGUCUUUGAUAAUUCAUCCGCUUGGUCAAUUGUCCACUAAAUGUGAAGUGGCUAAAAAGAAAGGAAAUUAACAUGUAGAAGAAGUUGAAGAACUGUUAAGCAGAGAAUUCAUCGCCUAGCUUAACCAGUGCAACGUGAAUAAGGAUUAAGAGGAUCUAGCUUAAUCCAUGUGUAUGGUAGCAGAUCAUAUACUUUGCUUUUUUCAAUUUUCUAAAUUACAGUUUCACCCCUAGCCUCAUUUGCGGGUAAAAUGUUAUAGUUUGCGCAAGCAGCAGAUCUAGAUAAUCUUUUGUAGGGCGUGAGUUACUGGAUAGACAUCUAAUAAAAAGAGGCAUCUUCUUUCGGCUCGAUACAGAAUAUAUCAGUGCUAUUGGGUGCUCUUUGGUACUACAAUUGCCUCACCCACUCUACAAAAACUUGAGUGUAUAUGGUCUUUUGUUCUUCACUAUUACUUUAUUAAGGCUGCAAAUUUGUGAUAUGUACAGAUGAAAACACAUACUGCGACAUAAUUGAUUCAUCUGACGAUUCAGUGUUCCCUGUUCUUUUUGUGUGAACUCCAGCCAGAAAUAUUUAGCCGGGGUAUUUUUUGCCACUUAUUGUCUGUUACGGAGAGUUGGUGUUUCUAGACACAAAAUAUUUUGUUUACUGGUUUAUACCAUGGGUCAGUUCAAUCUCAGGUUAAAUUAGUCAGUGUUGAUCAAUAAUGAAAUGUAGCCAUUGGUUGAUUGAUCAUUGAUGGUACAGAUGUGCAAAGCAACAAUUAUAUACCCCACUGUGUUGGACCCAAAUACCUUCCGGAAAGAAGUUCUGAAGGGUGGGAUACUAGACAACCAUGUAAUUUCAGCUAUAUCUUUCUGUGUCAAACACAAAGGUUGAAUGUAUGGCUUAGCACUAACUUCAUGUGGGUUUUUCUGCUCAAGUUAUUUCAGUUAUAUGCCUCAGUUAAUACUUCGCAGGAUCUUGAGGAGUUCUUUUGUGUUGUAUUGCUUUGAAGGUGAAUCUCAUUCCUCGGAUUUUGCUCUGUUGUCGUAGCACUUUCAGAUUUGAAGUUAUGUUUCUCAAGUAAGAAGUAGUAUCUUUGUGCUUUUAGCAAUGAGAAUAUUUGAGGAACUACCUAUUACAACAUCAUUUUCUAGGAAAAUUAGAUCAUAACAAGAGACGAUGAAUCAUUUAUUUUCUUUGUUGUGGGUAGGGUCAAAUUUUGAAUUACCAAGCUUUUGUAUGAUUUUGAUUGACCAGGCUUGCUUGCUGCUUGCUUGUCAAUCAAGCUAUGUUGGUCGAUUUUAGAGACAAACUUGUCUUCGAAUAAGACUAUCUAGAAGCAGCAAGGCAAAGACAUCCAUUGCAUUACUAACUGGGAUAAUUUUGACUUGUUAGCUACACCCUUUGGAUGGUCCUAAUUGUAGAAAAUUAUUAUAGACAAUCAACUCUUCAAAUUUCACCAUCAUGAAAGAAUCUAAAUAUAGUAUGUUUUCUUCUCUUACUUUUUUAUUAUACUCUUCUACUCUUAUAAUUCAUCAAAUGCUAACUAUUACCGUCACUUUAAUGCUCGGAACCCCUGGUUGAUAAUUUAUAGUGGGUCAGUUCUGUGUUGAUUUCUCUCAUGAUGAUUGAUGCUUUGUUACAUAGAUAGAAAAAAAUUGAGAAAUCAGAUGGAGAAGGAAUGGCACAACCGUGAAAAAUAAGUCAGAUGCUUGUUGAAAGAUAUAUACUGUGAGUUUCAUAUAUUUUGGUUCUAUAAGGAUUCAAUUUUUUAAGGAGGCCGGAGUGGAGAAGUAGAUGUGACAUAGAGAAACAUGGCUAUGCAGGGGAAACGGGAAAUCACACUUUGACAAAUGUUUCUAUAGUCAUGUGUUAUUCUGUAGCCACUGAGCAAAUGCAUCGACAUACAUGUGUCAGAGACGCUGUAUGCUCUUUGAUUGUUGAUAAUUUUUUGUUUCUCGUGGACCUUGUUUGACUUUUGGAUGUGGUGUGAAUUCUAUGGGCUAAUAUGUCAAGCUUUCGAUGGUGCACUAUGUACGCUUGUUUGGUGAUUCAAUAUUUGUCAGUGUGGUAAUAAGCCACAUACGACACAAAUUCUUCUAUUUUGUCGAACACAUCCUCUUGAAGUACAAGAUAUUUUUAUAACCAUGUCUACAACUCAUGAUCUCUAUGCCUAAAUUUAUUGUUUGGUGCCAUUGUGACCAAUAUCGCUUAAGCUAUACGAGGUUUGAUUGAGAACAUGGAGAUACAUUUUGUCUUACUCGUGAUGAUAAGUAUGUAUGUCAACUAUUUUAUGGCCGAGUGCUUUUAGCAGAGGGCUUGUUAGGGCAAUGAGAGGACGGUUCUGGACCUUCUCCUCAACCAACGUUGACGGAGAGCAAUGAGUUGACUGUGUUUGCUGAUGACGGCGAUAAAACUGGCAAGGUAUAAGGCGAGUUGUGUCCCUGGUAGAGGUGCAGAUCAAGGAGGUCGACAAAUGGGAUGAUGUUGGGUGACGUUCACUAAGGAGGAAAAAGGUGCAGGUCGUUGUUUUUUUUGGCGAUGGCAGCAACAUACUUCCUUGAGUGAAGAAAGGAAUCCCCAGCCUGAAGCUUCGCACAGAUUUUUCCUAUUCUCUGAGAUGGAUGAUGAUGAGCGGUGCAACCGAAAAUUCAGAGCUGGGCUUUACACACUUCAGUGGGAGUGGCAUGACAGCACCAAGGUAGAGACCUGAAGAGAAGCAAAGGGACGGAGCAAGGAAACUAGAACCACGUUGUCGUGAUGUGGGUCGUGUCGUCUUCGUCCAUCUCCAUGGAGAACAACAUGUCAUAAACAUGGAGCUGAGCAUUGUUUCUCCAGAUCCCUUCAAGACAGAGAUGUAGAGAGUGGCUCCAUCACUGAAGAGAGGACAAACAUUGUGCAAGGCAUUUUUGUGCAGCUCCUUUCACAAAUGAAGGAAUUACAAUGCAUCUGACCUGUAAAGGAUUGUGACGGACAAAGUGCAAUGAAUCCACAGGAGUGGGAGGGGAGAGUUUACGAAGAAUGUUUCAAGGACAAAGUGUGACCUGGAUUCCUAAGUUAUACCCAACGUAGCAAAAUUGUAUAGAGAGAAUGCCCGCAUUUUGAAAACUCCAUUACAUAAUUUGAGGCUAUGUUCCUUUCAAUUUUCAGCAUUAUUAAAAAGAUCCUUAUUAUAGCUAAAUUUCCAUGCAUUUAUUUUCAAACAACUCUUGGUUAAAAAUGAGUCUUAUUGUAGAUGGCAAGCCUCUAUUCUUUUUUAUUAUUAUAGGGGGGUGUUAGAUUUGUUACUAUAUAUGCUUGUCCACAACUAAACCAAAA
This is a long non-coding RNA of Triticum urartu, 4211 nucleotides long. RefSeq lists it as uncharacterized. NCBI's taxonomy places the organism in Eukaryota, Viridiplantae, Streptophyta, Magnoliopsida, Poales, Poaceae. The record is from RefSeq and is a predicted model, not a curated record.